This 75-nucleotide transfer RNA is filed under the name Fictibacillus macauensis ZFHKF-1. RNAcentral describes it as "tRNA-Phe". The stretch from base 7 to 64 matches the Rfam family "tRNA", at positions 8 to 63 of the family's 71-position model. Rfam says of the family: Transfer RNA (tRNA) molecules are approximately 80 nucleotides in length. Their secondary structure includes four short double-helical elements and three loops (D, anti-codon, and T loops). The record is from RNAcentral. Lineage: Bacteria; Bacillati; Bacillota; Bacilli; Caryophanales; Fictibacillaceae.
GCUCGAUAGCUCAGUCGGUAGAGCAGAGGACUGAAAAUCCUCGUGUCGGCGGUUCGAUCCCGUCAUCCUCCACCA